RNAcentral lists this ribosomal RNA (478 nucleotides) under uncultured bacterium. RNAcentral describes it as "partial 16S ribosomal RNA". It matches the Rfam family "Bacterial small subunit ribosomal RNA", at positions 28 to 523 of the family's 1533-position model. The record is from RNAcentral.
GACGAACGCUGGCGGCGUGCUUAACACAUGCAAGUCGAACGGUAAGGCCCUUCGGGGUACACGAGUGGCGAACGGGUGAGUAACACGUGGGUGAUCUGCCCUGCACUUCGGGAUAAGCCUGGGAAACUGGGUCUAAUACCGGAUAGGACUCCGGACUGCAUGGUCUGGGGUGGAAAGCUUUUGCGGUGUGGGAUGGGCCCGCGGCCUAUCAGCUUGUUGGUGGGGUGAUGGCCUACCAAGGCGAAGACGGGUAGCCGGCCUGGGAGGGUGACCGGCCACACUGGGACUGAGAUACGGCCCAGGCUCCUACGGGAGGCAGCAGUGGGGAAUAUUGCACAAUGGGCGCAAGCCUGAUGCAGCGACGCCGCGUGAGGGAUGACGGCCUUCGGGUUGUAAACCUCUUUCAGCAUCGACGAAGCGAAAGUGACGGUAGGUGCAGAAGAAGGACCGGCCAACUACGUGCCAGCCGCCGCAGUAA